GAUGAACGCUGGCGGCGUGCCUAACACAUGCAAGUCGAACGGGGCCGGUUUUCGGAUCGGUUCAGUGGCGGACGGGUGCGUAACACGUGGGUGACCUGCCCGGGAGUGGGGAAUAAUUCCGCGAAAGCGGGACUAAUACCGCAUGCGCUCGUGCCUUCGCUGGCAUGAGCAAAGUCGCAAGACGCUUCCGGAUGGGCCCGCGGCGGAUUAGCUGGUUGGUGGGGUAAUGGCCUACCAAGGCGAUGAUCCGUAGGGGGCGUGAGAGCGUGACCCCCCACAUUGGCACUGAGACACGGGCCAAACUCCUACGGGAGGCAGCAGUGAGGAAUAUUGCACAAUGGGCGCAAGCCUGAUGCAGCAACGCCGCGUGAGGGAUGAAGGCCCUCGGGUCGUAAACCUCUUUUCUGAGGGACGAGCAAGGACGGUACCUCAGGAAUAAGUCUCGGCUAACUACGUGCCAGCAGCCGCGGUAAAACGUAGGAGGCGAGCGUUAUCCGGAUUUACUGGGCGUAAAGCGCACGCAGGCGGCUUUGUGCAUCGGAUGUGAAAGCUCCUGGCUUAACUGGGAGAGGCCAUUCGAUACGGCAAGGCUUGAGGUUGGGAGAGGGGUGCGGAAUUCCCGGUGUAGUGGUGGAAUGCGUAGAUAUCGGGAGGAACACCAGUGGCGAAGGCGGCACCCUGGCCCACACCUGACGCUGAGGUGCGAAAGCGUGGGUAGCAAACAGGAUUAGAUACCCUGGUAGUCCACGCCGUAAACGAUGUCAACUAGGUGUUGGUGGUGUUACACUAUCAGUGCCGUAGCUAACGCGUUAAGUUGACCGCCUGGGGACUACGAGCGCAAGCUUA
Molecule: ribosomal RNA, 846 nt
Filed under: uncultured bacterium
Lineage: Bacteria
Description: bacterial SSU rRNA
Rfam family: Bacterial small subunit ribosomal RNA
Source: RNAcentral